ACUACAGUGUUCCUGGCUAAAGAAAGAUAAAGAAAUCAGGCAGCUUGCAUCGUUUAACAAAACUACAAGUCCCAGUAGCAGCCUGAGCAAGGCAUCACCGGAAGUUGGUCGUUUUGGUAUAAAUACAUCUCCGUGUCCUCCCGGGGUCCUUUCCUGUCAACGGCCUUUCGGAAGAUGGCGGUGCAAAUCUCCAAGAAGAAGAAGUUCGUCGCAGACGGUAUCUUCAAAGCCGAGCUGAACGAGUUCCUGACCCGUGAGCUUGCGGAGGAUGGCUACUCUGGUGUGGAGGUGCGUGUGACCCCAACCAGGACUGAGAUCAUCAUCCUGGCGACAAGGACCCAGAAUGUUCUGGGAGAGAAGGGCCGUUCGGAUCAGAGAGCUGACCGCUGUGGUCCAGAAGCGGUUUGGUUUCCCUGAGGGCAGCGUGGAGCUGUAUGCCGAGAAGGUUGCCACCCGUGGUCUUUGUGCCAUCGCUCAGGCAGAGUCUCUGCGCUACAAGCUGCUGGGAGGCCUGGCUGUGCGUAGCGAGUGAGGAGAAUCUGCCAGUAGUGAAAAAAGCGAGCUCGCAGACAGACUGGGAUCGACAUCGAGCGGGUCAACGUCGUCUUCAACUACGACAUGGCGGAAGAUUCUGACCGAUUUGCACAGGGUUGCCCGUGCCGGUCGCUUUGGCACAAAAGGCCUAGCAGUAACCUUUGUGUCGGCCGAGACCGACGAGGCCAACACGCUGAGCGACGUGAGGGACCGCUUCAAGGUCCACCUGGCCGAGCUGCCGGUUGAGAUCGACAGCUCCUCUUUCAACGAGCAGUCCAGAUGAGUCCUCCGGCCUAGCCGAAGGCUCCUCUUCGUCGACUUUGAAACAGACGUUUCACAGUUUAUUUGAAAGCUCUUCCAAGCUCUGUUUGGAAGGGUGAGGGGUUGUUUUAGUUUUUUUGAUCAAUGGAAUGAAAACUUUUUAUAAAAUGCCAAUUUUACUGUU
Molecule: long non-coding RNA, 979 nt
Organism: Pseudoliparis swirei
Lineage: Eukaryota; Metazoa; Chordata; Actinopteri; Perciformes; Liparidae
Exons: 8
Source: RefSeq, a predicted model, not a curated record